CUUCUUCUUCUUUUCUUCUCUUCUUCUUCUUCUUCUUCUUCUUAUUCUUCUUCUUAUUUUCUUUUUUCUUUUUUCCUGUUAUUCUUCUUCUCCUUCUCCUUCUUCUUCUUUUCUUCUUGUCUUCUUCGUCUUCUUCUUCUUAUUCUUCUUCUUCUUCUUCUUCUUCUUCUUAUUCUUAUUUUCUUUUUUCUUUUUUCCUCUUAUUCUUCUGCUCC
RNAcentral lists this long non-coding RNA (215 nucleotides) under Hordeum vulgare. RNAcentral describes it as "long non-coding RNA (HVUL_LNC015405)". The record is from RNAcentral. Lineage: Eukaryota; Viridiplantae; Streptophyta; Magnoliopsida; Poales; Poaceae.